CAGGAAAACGAGUAUGUUUUCCUGGCACUAUAGUGGUCCUUUAAAGGGAAACUAUAGUGUCAGGAAAAUAAACUUGUUUUCCUGGCACUAU
Molecule: non-coding RNA, 91 nt
Organism: Pelobates cultripes (western spadefoot toad)
Lineage: Eukaryota; Metazoa; Chordata; Amphibia; Anura; Pelobatidae
Source: the annotation of a GenBank genome assembly